UACGGAGGGUGCAAGCGUUAAUCGGAAUCACUGGGCGUAAAGGGUGCGUAGGCGGGUCUUUAAGUCAGGGGUGAAAUCCUGGAGCUCAACUCCAGAACUGCCUUUGAUACUGAAGAUCUUGAGUUCGGGAGAGGUGAGUGGAACUGCGAGUGUAGAGGUGAAAUUCGUAGAUAUUCGCAAGAACACCAGUGGCGAAGGCGGCUCACUGGCCCGAUACUGACGCUGAUGCACGAAAGCGUGGGGAGCAAACAGG
RNAcentral lists this ribosomal RNA (253 nucleotides) under uncultured bacterium. RNAcentral describes it as "partial 16S ribosomal RNA". It matches the Rfam family "Bacterial small subunit ribosomal RNA", at positions 524 to 776 of the family's 1533-position model. The record is from RNAcentral.